UGGGGGAAUAUUGGACAAUGGGCGCAAGCCUGAUCCAGCAAUGCCGCGUGUGUGAAGAAGGCCCUCGGGUUGUAAAGCACUUUUGUCCGGAAAGAAAUCCUUGGCUCUAAUACAGUCGGGGGAUGACGGUACCGGAAGAAUAAGCACCGGCUAACUACGUGCCAGCAGCCGCGGUAAUACGUAGGGUGCAAGCGUUAAUCGGAAUUACUGGGCGUAAAGCGUGCGCAGGCGGUUUGCUAAGACCGAUGUGAAAUCCCCGGGCUCAACCUGGGAACUGCAUUGGUGACUGGCAGGCUAGAGUAUGGCAGAGGGGGGUAGAAUUCCACGUGUAGCAGUGAAAUGCGUAGAGAUGUGGAGGAAUACCGAUGGCGAAGGCAGCCCCCCUGGGCCAAAUACUGACGCUCAUGCACGAAAGCGUGGGGGAGCAAAACAGGAUUAGAUA
Molecule: ribosomal RNA, 442 nt
Filed under: uncultured bacterium
Lineage: Bacteria
Description: partial 16S ribosomal RNA
Rfam family: Bacterial small subunit ribosomal RNA
Source: RNAcentral